UACAGAGGUCUCAAGCGUUGUUCGGAUUCAUUGGGCGUAAAGGGUGCGUAGGUGGCGUCGUAAGUCGGGUGUGAAAUCUCGGGGCUUAACUCCGAAACUGCAUUCGAUACUGCGGUGCUUGAGGACUGGAGAGGAGACUGGAAUUCAUGGUGUAGCAGUGAAAUGCGUAGAUAUCAGGAGGAACACCGGUGGCGAAGGCGGGUCUCUGGGCCGAAAUUGACGCUGAGGAGCGAAAGCGUGGGGAGCAAACAGG
RNAcentral lists this ribosomal RNA (253 nucleotides) under uncultured bacterium. RNAcentral's name for it is "partial 16S ribosomal RNA". It matches the Rfam family "Bacterial small subunit ribosomal RNA", at positions 524 to 776 of the family's 1533-position model. The record is from RNAcentral.